This 253-nucleotide ribosomal RNA is filed under the name uncultured bacterium. RNAcentral describes it as "partial 16S ribosomal RNA". It matches the Rfam family "Bacterial small subunit ribosomal RNA", at positions 524 to 776 of the family's 1533-position model. The record is from RNAcentral.
UACGAAGGGGGCUAGCGUUGCUCGGAAUCACUGGGCGUAAAGGGUGCGUAGGCGGGCCUUUAAGUCAGGGGUGAAAUCCUGGAGCUCAACUCCAGAACUGCCUUUGAUACUGAGGAUCUUGAGUUCGGGAGAGGUGAGUGGAACUGCGAGUGUAGAGGUGAAAUUCGUAGAUAUUGGGAAGAACACCGGUGGCGAAGGCGGCGACCUGGUCCGAUACUGACGCUGAGGCGCGAAAGCGUGGGGAGCAAACAGG